UACGAAGGGGGCUAGCGUUGUUCGGAUUUACUGGGCGUAAAGCGCACGUAGGCGGUUUGUUAAGUCAGGGGUGAAAUCCCAGAGCUCAACUCUGGAACUGCCUUUGAUACUGGCAAGCUAGAGUCCGGAAGAGGUAAGUGGAACUGCGAGUGUAGAGGUGAAAUUCGUAGAUAUUCGGAGGAACACCAGUGGCGAAGGCGGCUCACUGGUCCAUUACUGACGCUGAGGUGCGAAAGCGUGGGGAGCAAACAGG
This 253-nucleotide ribosomal RNA is filed under the name uncultured bacterium. RNAcentral describes it as "partial 16S ribosomal RNA". It matches the Rfam family "Bacterial small subunit ribosomal RNA", at positions 524 to 776 of the family's 1533-position model. The record is from RNAcentral.